AGCUCACCACAACAUAUAGGAACUUUAUAUUUCAGGUAAUAGCACAAAGCUUUUAUAUAUUUAUAUAUAUAUGGUUAUGUAACGUCAAAGAUUUGACAUCUUCCUAACAAUUACUCUGCAUUCGGGUUCAUAUAUUGUGUUGUUUUGUAGCAGUCUUUAGCAAAUGGCGAUACCAAAAAAGAAUUAAUAGUUCAGUAUAUCUUUUAUGAAUGAUCUUGUAACUUUGUGAUGAUGAUGAUAUGACUGGGAAGUUUGGUGGUUACUAAGGCCAUCUUCAAUGGGACUGCAAAACACUAUUUUAAUGUGAUUUUUACACUAAAUCCUCUCCAAUGGAACUGCAAAAAUCACACUAUUUUAGUGUAACACUAAAAUUUGACACCAAAUUUGGUGUGAUACUAUUCACCACACUAAAACACUAUUCAUCUCAUUAAAACACUAUUCACUUAUUUUAUUACUAAAACAUUCAAUUAAAU
Molecule: long non-coding RNA, 473 nt
Filed under: Brassica rapa (field mustard)
Lineage: Eukaryota; Viridiplantae; Streptophyta; Magnoliopsida; Brassicales; Brassicaceae
Description: long non-coding RNA (BRAP_LNC006141)
Source: RNAcentral